RNAcentral lists this ribosomal RNA (882 nucleotides) under Orius vicinus. RNAcentral's name for it is "partial 16S ribosomal RNA". Lineage: Eukaryota; Metazoa; Arthropoda; Insecta; Hemiptera; Anthocoridae. The record is from RNAcentral.
UUAUUAUUUACAUUAAUAAUUUUAUUGUGCAAUUCAAUAUAAUUUGAUUUAUUUAGAUAUUUAUUAAAAUUUUUUAUUUAACUUUUUUUAAUAAAAAUAAUUUAAUUUUUAGUAUAUUUUUUAGAAAUAAAAUUAAUAAUUUUAAGUACUGUAUAGGAAUAUAUAUUAAAUUUUUAUAAGAACUAUUUUAUUAGGUACCUUUUGUAUCAGGGUUAAUUAAAUUUUAUUAAUUUAUUAAUUAUUUUCCCGAAGUAAAAAGAUUUAUAAUUAUAUUUUUUAUUUUAUGACAAAACAAUAUAUAAUAUAAUUAUAGUUGUUAUAUGCUAUUCAUUUUUUAUAUAUCUGGUUUUUUAAUAAUUUAAUUUAAUUAAUAAUUAAAAGUUUAUUUAUUUAAUUUUAUUAUUUAUUAUCUUUUAAUUAAAUCAACCUAAGGAUAAGCUAAGGUUGAUUUCUAUAAUUAUUAAUAAUUAAAUUUUUGUAGGAUUAAUAUUUUCCAUCCUUUAUUUAUUUAUAUAAAAUUUUUAUUUAAUUUUUAUUUUUUAUUUAUUUAGAUAUUUAUUAAAAUUUUUUAUUUAAUAAUGAUUAAAUUUAAUAAUGAUUAAAUUAGUAUAAUUUUAAAUAAAAAUAUAAUAACUCGGCAAAUAUUAUUUUUACCUGUUUAACAAAAACAUGUCUUUUUGUUUUUAAUUUAAAGUCAGACCUGCCCAAUGAUUUAUUUUAAUGGCCGCAGUAUACUAACUGUGCAAAGGUAGCAUAAUCAUUUGUUAUUUAAUUGAUAACUGGAAUGAAUGGUUUUAUAAAAAAUAUUCUUUUUUUAUUUUUAAUUUAAAAAUUUUAUUUUAAGGUCAAAAAGCUUUAAUUUACUUAUUAGACGAUAAGACC